AUGUUCCCACCAUGCGAGGCAAUGGGCGUGGGAGGCGACGAUAGCCCUCGCGACAGACAUCGGCGUGACGGAGUCGCACUACUCGACGCUGCAGCGGUUCAUCCUCUUCCUCUCCCCACUGUACUGGAGAAAACACCUGGUGAAGGCGAUUCAAGCUGGGCUCCAUCUUCGCGGUGGAUCAUGCUGCAGCUUCACGGGGGAGCGGAUCACGCUGCAGCUCGAAGGCACUGCGGCUUCAACUGCAUCUCGGCGGCCCGGCAGCUCGAAGGCGCAGCACCGCAGCUGCUCCAUCUGCAUCUGGGCAGCCUGGCAGCUCCCGCUACAGCUCGGAGCUGCGGAAUCUGCAGAUGGCGCCGCUCGUAUCGGUGA
RNAcentral lists this ribosomal RNA (369 nucleotides) under Triticum aestivum (bread wheat). Its description in RNAcentral is "partial small subunit ribosomal RNA". Lineage: Eukaryota; Viridiplantae; Streptophyta; Magnoliopsida; Poales; Poaceae. The record is from RNAcentral.